Molecule: long non-coding RNA, 1124 nt
Organism: Myripristis murdjan (pinecone soldierfish)
Lineage: Eukaryota; Metazoa; Chordata; Actinopteri; Holocentriformes; Holocentridae
Exons: 5
Source: RefSeq, a predicted model, not a curated record
AGCGUCGUGCUCGGCGCUGCUGGGUGGUCCCCUGCUUUCCGUGGGAACUUUGAAAACAGGAAAGAGACCGCAGAGAGCUGCACGGACCGAGCAGCACAUUUUGUGCAAAUGCCACCGAGCAAACCGGGUGCUUAUAUUUUUGGAUUUCAAUGCUGACAUCCAUCAGUGCUGUUUUGGAACAAUAACAACCCCCCGCCCUGCCGUUUUCAGCUGCCCACAGUUGCACAGUAGAGAGGGACAGGAAUGGCAGGGGAGAGAGAGAGAGGAGAUGCAGCAAAUGGCUUGAGCUCAGAUUCGAACCUUGGACGCUGCGAUCAGGACUUGGCCUUAAGAAGUGGUGCGCGCUCUACCAGAGUGACAAUAGUCUGACAAGUUUGAUAAUCUCGCUAAUUGAUCACAGCAUCAGAGUCAAGAUUUCCCGGCUCAAGAGGCUACAGUAGCUAUUUUGAGUACCCGGUGCUCUUCUCAGCAGCAUUCACUCCGCUCCGUCACUGCACUGCUUUUGGUGAGGGGUAUUUCAUAACACGAUGACAGCCUUCUCUCUAUAUCACACUAUGCUAUUUUGAUGUAAACCUGUCAUAAAAAAUAUGUUAUCAUACAACUAAACUGCAUUCUCAGUUCCAUUUUGAGGGAAAAACAUUUUGUUGCAGAUUACCCGAGUUUAUUACCGUGUUAAGCUUUUUAGGUAUUGUUACAUUGCGUUACAAAGUCAGACAGUUUUGUUGAAGCAAGACAAACCUAACCUUUCCAUAAUAUAACCUAAAGUUUCCCUGAACCUAACCUUAACAAACCAUAACCGAGUGGUUUUGGUGCCUAAACCUAACCAUGUGACACUGACACGCUCCGAGGGCCUGGUGCAUCUCAUUUAAGAACGGAGUUUAGUUGUAUGGGACCCAGCUAUGUUCAUUAGAAACAUAUUUGUGAUACAUCAGAAACAAAUGUAAUUCAUGACAAAAUACGUUUCCCUUAAGAGGUUAUUCAGUCAAGUGCAAUGAAUUUUCUGAACUAUCACAGAGUGUACUAAGUUUGUAUUGGUGGAAAUGUUCACUUACUUACCGUCUCACUGUUAUAGGAGACUGAUUCUUGAGAAUUUGGAUGAAUCAUGUCCCACUAAGAAAAAUGCU